This 60-nucleotide microRNA precursor is filed under the name Eptatretus burgeri (inshore hagfish). Its description in RNAcentral is "Ebu-Mir-26-P5_pre stem-loop". Lineage: Eukaryota; Metazoa; Chordata; Myxini; Myxiniformes; Myxinidae. The record is from RNAcentral.
UUCAAGUAAUCCAGGAUAGGCUGUAUGCCUUUGCUAAGCCUGUCCUCGGUUGCUUGGACC